UGAAUACCCAAGAGACUCAGGCAGUAAAAGGCUGAAGGCCAGACAACAAGGCACUGGAUCUAGGACAGGGGAAAAUGGCUGCUCCGUUUUCGAGAUCCGUCUGGGCAGCUGACUUUGCAGAUGGGAUCUACUGGUUGCAUUUCUAAGCUUGAGAGAUCAUCUUCUCUUUACCUUGAAGAUGCAAUGGAAAUGAUGCCUGGAUGACAGUGGUGGGACCAAUCUCCAACACUCGGCUGGAUACCUCUUCUACCAAAUCAGGUCUGGAAACAGACACUUGAGCAAGAGGUGUUGGAACCAGUGUUUAAAUUGUGAAAGAUCAUUGCUUCAAGAUGCUGGGACGGCUCUGACAACGAAGAAGGAAAGAGGAACAGAGGUGGGCAAGAUGGAGUCUUACCUGGGAUAGUCAAGAAUUGUGCAAGGCCAAGCCAAUAUGGAAGGAGGAGAAUCUAAAAACACAGAGAAACUUACUUGGAGAUGGCAGGGCUUUGGCUGAAGGACCCAAAGUGUAAACUGGAACAGCAUAUGUAGAAUCUACCUUGUUCUUUACCCUGGAGAAGUCCUGUUGUGGUUCCACACCCUUCUGUCAAGCAGGUCCCUGAGGGGAUGCCACCCUUCUGCUGUCACCUAUAAUCCACGAGUGAUCCUCCGAAUCAUCCUUUGUGGUGACCGCCACACACAUGCAGUUUACCCAGAGAGAGACACAGCAUCUCUACAGAAUGGAGCAGAGAGAGUGGGAAACGGCAGAGAGAGAGAG
Molecule: long non-coding RNA, 754 nt
Filed under: Equus caballus (horse)
Lineage: Eukaryota; Metazoa; Chordata; Mammalia; Perissodactyla; Equidae
Description: lncRNA (ENSECAG00000029590.3)
Source: RNAcentral